UGCCUGGUGUUGGGUGGAGGCAU
This 23-nucleotide non-coding RNA is filed under the name Cricetulus griseus (Chinese hamster). Lineage: Eukaryota; Metazoa; Chordata; Mammalia; Rodentia; Cricetidae. The record is from RNAcentral.